UGUUGCCUACGGGAGGCAGCAGUGGGGAAUAUUGGACAAUGGGGGGAACCCUGAUCCAGCGACGCCGCGUGAGUGAAGAAGUAUUUCGGUAUGUAAAGCUCUAUCAGCAGGGAAGAAAGAAAUGACGGUACCUGACUAAGAAGCCCCGGCUAACUACGUGCCAGCAGCCGCGGUAAUACGUAGGGGGCAAGCGUUAUCCGGAUUUACUGGGUGUAAAGGGAGCGUAGACGGCAUAGCAAGUCUGAAGUGAAAGCCCGUGGCUCAACCGCGGAACUGCUUUGGGAACUGUUAGGCUGGAGUACUGG
RNAcentral lists this ribosomal RNA (305 nucleotides) under uncultured bacterium. RNAcentral's name for it is "bacterial SSU rRNA". It matches the Rfam family "Bacterial small subunit ribosomal RNA", at positions 333 to 652 of the family's 1533-position model. The record is from RNAcentral.